Molecule: long non-coding RNA, 248 nt
Filed under: Lathyrus oleraceus (garden pea)
Lineage: Eukaryota; Viridiplantae; Streptophyta; Magnoliopsida; Fabales; Fabaceae
Description: Pisum sativum (pea) long non-coding RNA (PSAT_LNC032055)
Source: RNAcentral
AAAAGGGCUUGGUUUCAUGCAUAGAACCCAUAUUCCCUCACAAGGUAGGUUCUAAGACUUUAUGAAGAUUUUCUAGAGUCACAGAUACUGAGGCAAAAAUAUCAUCAUCGCCAAAAAUAGCCAACAAUAUCUUCAGGAGCAUCUACUAUAAGUGAGAUGAAGUCUCAACUUCAAAAGCCGCAAGUUAACUAAAGGUCCUCAGAGUCAUGGAUCCGUUUUGGAAGAAUGGUUGUCAGCGCAAAAAUGAC